This 1882-nucleotide long non-coding RNA is filed under the name Ananas comosus (pineapple). RNAcentral's name for it is "long non-coding RNA (ACOM_LNC016222)". Lineage: Eukaryota; Viridiplantae; Streptophyta; Magnoliopsida; Poales; Bromeliaceae. The record is from RNAcentral.
UAUAUAUAAAGAGAGAGAGAGAACUAGGUUACUGUAUUAUUAAUAGCAUUAAGUCAUUGAUACUAUUAGAUUUUUGGCCCUUGGGUGAAAGAAUAUGCGGUUAGAAUGAUAAUAAUUUUCUGAAAUUGAGUAAAUUUUUGGUGGAAUAGUAUGAUAUAAUGAGUGAAAAUAGUCAAAGAAGUAGAUCUAACAGUGAAAAAUUUGGUAGCACGUACAAUGCGCUCGGUGCUAUUCGAGCAUCCAGCCUGGCUCUAUAUAUAUAAUUGAGCUUUUAAAAGCACAGAAGCUCAAUGUAUUUGUAAACUUUUAACUAUUGGAUUGUAUCAAGAUCCGUACAAUAUUAGUAAAAGGAGCUUAAUGGGACACUUCGUUAAUAGUGCUACACGAAUUUUGAGGCGAUCCGAUAGCUGAAAAAUCACAAGCACGAAUGUUCUUGUACUAGAGAGAGAGAUUUGUGAGAAUGCUAUCGGUAGUAAAUGACUCGGUUUACUACCGAUUUAUUUUCGAUAAUAGAGCUUUCAAAUUGACGAUCGACGCUGUUAAACAUGAUCUAAACUAUUUAAACUAUUUAGAAAUCAAAUUUCACGCUCUUUCAAUAUUGUUCUCUUGUCCACCAAGUGAACAGAAAAUAAAUGCAUGGCUGAAAUUUUUGUAUUUAAAAUCUAUAGUUUAGAUCUUGUUUUAAAUAGUUUAAAAAAUUUUUUAACAAAAAUUUAGUUGAUUUGGACUAUUCUAUAUCGUUAAACGAGCAAAUGUACCAUACUGACCAUUAAAGUUAUAGAUUUUGUGAUCCUUUAAUCGUUCCGUUAGUGAUGGCAAAAAAAUAUGAAAUUUAAUUUCUAUUUAGUUUAAAUGGUCUACAUUAUAUUCAAUGAUACUGAUCGUGAAUUUAAAAAUUCUAUCAUAAAAAAUAAAUCAGUAGUAAACUAAAUCAUUUACUACCUGAGUCAAACUCUCUCUCUCUAUAUUGAGCUUCUGUGCUUUUAAAAGUACAAGAAUAUUUAUGCUUGUGACUUUUUUAGUUGUUGGAUCGCCUCAAAAUUCAUAAAGCAUUGUAAAUGAUGUGUCCCGUUAAAUUUUUUUUUAAUUAGUGUUGCACAAAUCUUAUGAUGAUCUGACGACUAAAAAUUUAUAAGAAUGUGAAGUUUCUGUGAUUAUAAAAGUAGUUAUAUAUAGAGAGAGAGAGAGAGAGAGAGAAGAGAGAGAGACGUAUGAUUUCUUGGUUUCUUUUUUUUCCCUUAGACACAGACAAAACUAUCGAGACACACCUUUCACUCUACACACGUGUGUGUUUUGUACGUGUGAAUGAAUAUUUAGGAGAGUAAAUCUAUGAUUAUAUAUUCGAGAACAAAAUGCAUAAAGAUCUCUAAAUGUCUAAAUUAUGCAGUAUAUUUCUUCUAUUUACUGAUUAAUUAUAUAAUAUUUGGCAGAUACUCAUACUUGGCCUUCAAAUUAUUUUUUUAGAAAUAAGAUAAAUUUCGCCGUGUGUAAACUAUAUUGUCCUAUUAAAUUAGAUUAUGUCCCUCUAAUUUAUUAUCAUUAGAGGACCAUUAGAUAACUGUUUAUAUUUUCAAUUUUGUCAUUAUAAAUAUAUUCCUCCAAAAAUCACAACAGUAUAAUAUAAGAGAAGUAAAAAUAUUAAAAACUAACCAGAGUUAAGUAUUUAAUCUAUGAUUAACUAAAUUUUUCUAACGGAUUCUAAUAGCAUGGAUGUAUUUAAAAAUAUUAGGAUUUUAAUAGAAAUAUACAUAAAAGUUGAACUUUAUAAAAAUAUAUUUGUAAUUCACUAUAUUUAUAGCUAGGAAUCUGUAUAUUAUUAACCCUUAAUUAUAAAUAUUGCUAAUAUUUUGUAAGGAGCUAAACUCAAACUCCUACAAUAUUC